Molecule: ribosomal RNA, 827 nt
Filed under: Pterulicium xylogenum
Lineage: Eukaryota; Fungi; Basidiomycota; Agaricomycetes; Agaricales; Pterulaceae
Description: eukaryotic LSU rRNA
Rfam family: Eukaryotic large subunit ribosomal RNA
Source: RNAcentral
ACUGCGCAGUGAAGCGGGAAAAGCUCAAAUUUAAAAUCUGGCAGUUCUUGCAGCUGUCCGAGUUGUAAUUUAGAGAAGCGUUAUCCGCGCUGGACCGUGUACAAGUCUCCUGGAACGGAGCGUCAUAGAGGGUGAGAAUCCCGUCCAUGGCACGGACUCCCAGUGCAUUGUGAUGCGCUCUCGAAGAGUCGAGUUGUUUGGGAAUGCAGCUCUAAAUGGGUGGUAAAUUCCAUCUAAAGCUAAAUAUAGGCGAGAGACCGAUAGCGAACAAGUACCGUGAGGGAAAGAUGAAAAGAACUUUGGAAAGAGAGUUAAACAGUACGUGAAAUUGUUGAAAGGGAAACGCUUGAAGUCAGUCGCGUCGUUCAGGGAUCAGCCUUGCUCUGCUUGGUGUACUUCCUGUUCGACGGGUCAGCAUCAGUUUCGAUCGCUGGAAAAGGGAUGCAGGAAUGUGGCAUCUUCGGAUGUGUUAUAGCCUGUGUUCGUAUACAGCGGUUGGGACUGAGGAAUCAGCACUCGAUGCUUGGGAUGCUGGCAUAAUGGCUUUAAGCGACCCGUCUUGAAACACGGACCAAGGAGUCUAACAUGCCCGCGAGUGUUUGGGUGGAAAACCCGGACGCGCAAUGAAAGUGAAAAGUUGGGAUCUCUGUCGUGGAGAGCACCGACGCCCGGACCAGAUGUUUUCGGACGGAUCUGCGGUAGAGCGUGUAUGUUGGGACCCGAAAGAUGGUGAACUAUGCCUGAAUAGGGCGAAGCCAGAGGAAACUCUGGUGGAGGCUCGUAGCGAUUCUGACGUGCAAAUCGAUCGUCGAAUUUGGGUAUAGGGG